GGAUUGUGGCUCAGCGGUAGAGCGCUCGCCUAGCAUGUACAAGGCCCUGGGUUUGAUCCUCAGCACCA
This 68-nucleotide transfer RNA is filed under the name Marmota monax (woodchuck). Its description in RNAcentral is "tRNA.Ala". The record is from RNAcentral. Lineage: Eukaryota; Metazoa; Chordata; Mammalia; Rodentia; Sciuridae.